CCGGAUGGUUCCACCUAAUUAAAUAAAUUUUUAGCAUACUAUUAUUUUUAAAAAUCUACGUAAUAAUUAUAAAAUAUAAUAUAAAAUUUACCUCGUUAUGAGUGAGAAUGUAUAUGGGUGGUCCACUCGAGGACGUAAAAAUAGAAAGCGAAACUGUGUCCAUGAUUGCAGUAGUGACAGGCAACCUCCGAUUUUCUCUUUACUCGAUUGCGUCGCCCCG
This 220-nucleotide long non-coding RNA is filed under the name Gossypium raimondii (Peruvian cotton). RNAcentral describes it as "long non-coding RNA (GRAI_LNC010836)". The record is from RNAcentral. Lineage: Eukaryota; Viridiplantae; Streptophyta; Magnoliopsida; Malvales; Malvaceae.